CAACAAGCAACAAGACACCAAGAAACAAGACAACAAGCCCUGUGACUGUUAGUAAAGAUGACGUUGAAGAUGAGAUAAUCUACUCAGAUGUUAAAGUGAUGACGGCUGCAAGGAAGACCAGACACAACUGACUUUAAAAUCCAACUUCAUUUUUUCCUGAAACAUUAUUUCUAAUUUUCCUUCACAACUGUCAUUUAUUGUGUGCCACCUUCUUUGUUCAUCUACAGUAUCCACAAUGCAUCACUGCUAAUUCUUAAUGUCUUAAAGCUCAGGUCCACUGUUCAUACAGUAUAUACACUUAUACUUAUAUACACAGGUAGUGGCUAACAAAUAACCACUUCCUUGAGUCACAUCUCAAAAACAAGACAACAAACAGGAAGAGCUGAACUCACACCUGCUGCUAAGAAAUUCCGUUCUCUUCAACAACAACCUGAAAGACGACAACCACAGUUCAUAUGCAGUGAGUGUCGACUAAAACCACAUAUUUGAAAGGGCCUUUGAGAAACCAGGGACUUUAAAACUGUACCUCCACUAUACAGCAUGAAGUUAACACGAGGCUUUAAUGGCAAUUUAUUUUCAUGAUUUCAUGAAUAACUUCUUACGUAUAAUCAUUAACAGUAAAUACAAUGUGUAUUCCAGUGAACUUGAUAUACAGAUUUUUUUUUUUUUAAUGCAAAAUUGAGCAGCAUUUGUUUUUCAUUCACUAUCAAAGAGUGUAUGAUGAUGUAUUUAGUUAUAUUUCAAUUUCUUAUUAGUUCAACAAUAUUUUCAUAACGCAUGUUGUGGUAAUGUUUAGCAUAAAUUAUAUACAUGAAUUUCUGAAGAUGAUGUUUAACAGAACCAAUAAAUGUAGACCUGUUUUUACGACCAUUUUUACGUGUAUGUAAAUAGUUUGUCCAUUUACGAUGGAAAAAUCAUCAGAGUGAACAUGAAACUACAAAAUCUACUUGAACAGUCAUGCAAUUCAUAAGUUAUAAUUUGUUUUAUUAAUUCUGGGAAAGUAUUAAUAUUAUGUGUGGCUUAUUGUAAGAUUUGCAAUCAAUUAAAGUUUAAUAAAGGAUUCGGUAUAAAA
This is a long non-coding RNA of Mugil cephalus (flathead mullet), 1072 nucleotides long. RefSeq lists it as uncharacterized. The transcript is spliced from 2 exons. The record is from RefSeq and is a predicted model, not a curated record. NCBI's taxonomy places the organism in Eukaryota, Metazoa, Chordata, Actinopteri, Mugiliformes, Mugilidae.